AAUUUAUUGGUUUAUAUAAAUUUUUAUUUAUUUUAUUUUAUAAAAAAAAUAUUUUUAUAUUUUAUUAUUAAUUUAGAAAAAAUUAAUUUUAGUUAUAGUUAAUUAGUAUAGUGAUAGAUUAUUGAAAUAAAUUGAAAUAUUAAAAUAUUUAAAAGAAAAAUUUAUUUUUUGUACCUUGGGUAUCAGGGUUUAUUAAAUAAUAAUUAUAAAUUUAAUUUUCUCGAAUUUAAAAGAGCUAAAAAAUUAUAAAUUUUAUUGUAACAUAAAUAUUUAAAAUAAUUUUUUAGUAAUGAAACGUUAUUCGUUUUUAAAUUUAUCUAGUUUUUUAAGAAAUAAAUUUAAUUUAGUUUAUUAGUUUAAUUUAAAUAAUUUUUUAUUUAAGUUAAUAUAAUAAUUUAAUAUUUUAGGGGAUAAGCUUUAAGAUAAAAUUUUAUAAAUAAUUAUUAAUUUAAAAAUUAAUUUGUAGGAUUGGAAGUUUUUUUCAAAUAUUGUGUUAUAACAGUUUUUUUUUUAUAUUUAAUUUUUAUAUAAUUUUAAAUUUUUUAUUAAAAUAAUUAAUUAAAUAUUAAAAUUUAUGAAAUAAUGAUAGAAUUAGUAUAAUGUAAUGUUAAAUAAAGUUAAAAAUUAAGGUUGAAUUAAGGAACUCGGCAAAAUAUUUUUCCGCCUGUUUAUUAAAAACAUGGCUUUUUGAUUAUAAUUUAAAGUCUGACCUGCCCUCUGAAUUAUUAAUUUGAAUGGCUGCGGUACCCUGACCGUGCAAAGGUAGCAUAAUAAUUAGUUUCUUAAUUGGGAACUGGUAUGAACGGUCGAACGAGAGAAAGACUGUCUCAAUUUAAUUUAAAUUAGAAUUUUAUUUUUAAGUAAGAAAGCUUAAAUUAUUUUAAAAGACGAGAAGACCCUAUAGAAUUUUAUAAAAAUUUAUAUAUUUGAAAGUUAAAGGAUUUUAGAUUUAGAUAUAUUUAUUUUUAUUUAGUUGGGGCGAUUGAAAAAUUUAAUAAACUUUUUUUAAAAUUAAACCAUUAAUUUAUGAUUGGAUGAUCCAUUAAUAAUGAUUAUAAGAUUAAAUUACCUUAGGGAUAACAGCGUAAUUUUUUUUGAGAGUUCUUAUCGAAAAAAAAGUUUGCGACCUCGAUGUUGGAUUAAAAUAAACUUUUGGUGCAGAGACUGAAAGAGUUAGGUCUGUUCGACCUUUAAAAUUUUACAUGAUCUGAGUUUAAACCGGCGUGAGCCAGGUUGGUUUCUAUCUUUAAAAAAUUAAAAUAUUUUAGUACGAAAGGAUCAAGUAUUUGUAAUAUUUAUUAAUUAAAGAUUUUUAUUAAUUUA
Molecule: ribosomal RNA, 1323 nt
Filed under: Coleoptera sp. 7 KM-2017
Lineage: Eukaryota; Metazoa; Arthropoda; Insecta; Coleoptera
Description: 16S ribosomal RNA
Rfam family: Archaeal large subunit ribosomal RNA (bases 1076-1235)
Source: RNAcentral